This is a ribosomal RNA of Callithrix jacchus (white-tufted-ear marmoset), 119 nucleotides long. Lineage: Eukaryota; Metazoa; Chordata; Mammalia; Primates; Cebidae. The record is from Ensembl.
GUCUACGGCCAUACCACCUGGAAUGCGCCCAAUCCCGUCUGAUCUUGGAAGCUAAGCAAGGUCGGGCCUCGUUAGUACUUGAAAGGGAGACUGCGUGGGAAUACCAGGUGCUGCAGGCU